Molecule: ribosomal RNA, 1372 nt
Filed under: uncultured bacterium
Lineage: Bacteria
Description: bacterial SSU rRNA
Rfam family: Bacterial small subunit ribosomal RNA
Source: RNAcentral
GAUGAACGCUGGCGGCGUGCCUAAUACAUGCAAGUCGAGCGAACGGACGAGAAGCUUGCUUUUCUGAUGUUAGCGGCGGACGGGUGAGUAACACGUGGAUAACCUACCUAUAAGACUGGGAUAACUUCGGGAAACCGGAGCUAAUACCGGAUAAUAUUUUGAACCGCAUGGUUCAAAAGUGAAAGACGGUCUUGCUGUCACUUAUAGAUGGAUCCGCGCUGCAUUAGCUAGUUGGUAAGGUAACGGCUUACCAAGGCAACGAUGCAUAGCCGACCUGAGAGGGUGAUCGGCCACACUGGAACUGAGACACGGUCCAGACUCCUACGGGAGGCAGCAGUAGGGAAUCUUCCGCAAUGGGCGAAAGCCUGACGGAGCAACGCCGCGUGAGUGAUGAAGGUCUUCGGAUCGUAAAACUCUGUUAUUAGGGAAGAACAUAUGUGUAAGUAACUGUGCACAUCUUGACGGUACCUAAUCAGAAAGCCACGGCUAACUACGUGCCAGCAGCCGCGGUAAUACGUAGGUGGCAAGCGUUAUCCGGAAUUAUUGGGCGUAAAGCGCGCGUAGGCGGUUUUUUAAGUCUGAUGUGAAAGCCCACGGCUCAACCGUGGAGGGUCAUUGGAAACUGGAAAACUUGAGUGCAGAAGAGGAAAGUGGAAUUCCAUGUGUAGCGGUGAAAUGCGCAGAGAUGUGGAGGAACACCAGUGGCGAAGGCGACUUUCUGGUCUGUAACUGACGCUGAUGUGCGAAAGCGUGGGGAUCAAACAGGAUUAGAUACCCUGGUAGUCCACGCCGUAAACGAUGAGUGCUAAGUGUUAGGGGGUUUCCGCCCCUUAGUGCUGCAGCUAACGCAUUAAGCACUCCGCCUGGGGAGUACGACCGCAAGGUUGAAACUCAAAGGAAUUGACGGGGGCCCGCACAAGCGGUGGAGCAUGUGGUUUAAUUCGAAGCAACGCGAAGAACCUUACCAAAUCUUGACAUCCUUUGACAACUCUAGAGAUAGAGCCUUCCCUUUCGGGGGACAAAGUGACAGGUGGUGCAUGGUUGUCGUCAGCUCGUGUCGUGAGAUGUUGGGUUAAGUCCCGCAACGAGCGCAACCCUUAAGCUUAGUUGCCAUCAUUAAGUUGGGCACUCUAAGUUGACUGCCGGUGACAAACCGGAGGAAGGUGGGGAUGACGUCAAAUCAUCAUGCCCCUUAUGAUUUGGGCUACACACGUGCUACAAUGGACAAUACAAAGGGCAGCGAAACCGCGAGGUCAAGCAAAUCCCAUAAAGUUGUUCUCAGUUCGGAUUGUAGUCUGCAACUCGACUACAUGAAGCUGGAAUCGCUAGUAAUCGUAGAUCAGCAUGCUACGGUGAAUACGUUCCCGGGUCU